Molecule: ribosomal RNA, 446 nt
Filed under: uncultured bacterium
Lineage: Bacteria
Description: SSU rRNA
Rfam family: Bacterial small subunit ribosomal RNA
Source: RNAcentral
AGAACGAACGCUGGCGGCAGGCCUCAAACAUGCAAGUCUAGGGGGUGUAGCAAUACAUCACCGGCGGACGGGUGCGUAACACGUGGGAAUGUACCUACUGGUUCGGAACAACGCAGGGAAACUUGCGCUAAUACCGAAUAAGCCCGAAAGGGGAAAGAUUUAUCGCCAGUAGAUCAGCCCGCGUAGGAUUAGCUAGUUGGUGGGGUAAUGGCCCACCAAGGCUCCGAUCCUUAGCUGUUCUGAGAGGAAGAUCAGCCACACUGGGACUGAGACACGGCCCAGACUCCUACGGGAGGCAGCAGUUGGGAAUCUUGGACAAUGGGGAAACCCUGAUCCAGCCAUGCCGCGUGAGUGAUGAAGGCCUUCGGGUUGUAAAACUCUUUCGACGGGGACGAUAAUGACGGUACCCGUAGAAGAAGCUCCGGCUAACUUCGUGCCAGCAGCCG